Molecule: transfer RNA, 72 nt
Filed under: Bos taurus (domestic cattle)
Lineage: Eukaryota; Metazoa; Chordata; Mammalia; Artiodactyla; Bovidae
Also listed under: 4 other names
Rfam family: tRNA
About the family: Transfer RNA (tRNA) molecules are approximately 80 nucleotides in length. Their secondary structure includes four short double-helical elements and three loops (D, anti-codon, and T loops).
Source: Rfam by way of RNAcentral
UCCCUGGUGGCUCAGACAGUAAAGAAUCUGCCUGCAAUGCUGGAGACCCAGGUUCAACUCCUGGGUUGGGAA